Molecule: ribosomal RNA, 808 nt
Filed under: uncultured bacterium
Lineage: Bacteria
Description: bacterial SSU rRNA
Rfam family: Bacterial small subunit ribosomal RNA
Source: RNAcentral
UAGAGUUUGAUCUUGGCUCAGGAUGAACUCUAGCGACAGGCCUAACACAUGCAAGUCGAGGGGCAACAUGGUAUCAUCUUGCUGAUACUGAUGGCGACCGGCGCACGGGUGAGUAACGCGUAUGUAAUCUACCUGUAACAGAGGGAUAACCCGGAGAAAUCCGGACUAAUACCUCAUAGCACAUAUUAUUCGCAUGAUUUUUAUGUUAAAGAGACUCGGUUACAGAUGAACAUGCGUUCCAUUAGCUAGUUGGCGGGGUUACGGCCCACCAAGGCAACGAUGGAUAGGGGUUCUGAGAGGAAGGUCCCCCACACUGGUACUGAGACACGGACCAGACUCCUACGGGAGGCAGCAGUGAGGAAUAUUGGUCAAUGGGCGAAAGCCUGAACCAGCCAAGUCGCGUGGAGGAAGACGGCCCUACGGGUUGUAAACUCCUUUUACCUGGGAAUAACGGGCGCUACGUGUAGCGCUGUGCAAGUAUCGGGAGAAUAAGCAUCGGCUAAUUCCGUGCCAGCAGCCGCGGUAAUACGGAAGAUGCGAGCGUUAUCCGGAUUUAUUGGGUUUAAAGGGUGCGUAGGCGGAAGAAUAAGUCAGCGGUGAAAUGCUUCAGCUCAACCGGAGAAUUGCCGAUGAAACUGUUUUUCUAGAGUAUAAAAGAGGUAUGCGGAAUGCGUGGUGUAGCGGUGAAAUGCAUAGAUAUCACGCAGAACCCCGAUUGCGAAGGCAGCAUACUGGGCUAUAACUGACGCUGAAGCACGAAAGCGUGGGUAUCGAACAGGAUUAGAUACCCUGGUAGUCCACGCCGUAA